UACGUAGGUCCCGAGCGUUGUCCGGAUUUAUUGGGCGUAAAGCGUGCGCAGGUGGUUUAUUAAGUCUGGUGUAAAAGGCAGUGGCUCAACCAUUGUAUGCAUUGGAAACUGGUAGACUUGAGUGCAGAAGAGGAGAGUGGAAUUCCAUGUGUAGCGGUGAAAUGCGUAGAUAUAUGGAGGAACACCGGUGGCGAAAGCGGCUCUCUGGCCUGUAACUGACACUGAGGCUCGAAAGCGUGGGGAGCAAACAGG
RNAcentral lists this ribosomal RNA (252 nucleotides) under uncultured bacterium. RNAcentral's name for it is "partial 16S ribosomal RNA". It matches the Rfam family "Bacterial small subunit ribosomal RNA", at positions 524 to 776 of the family's 1533-position model. The record is from RNAcentral.